RNAcentral lists this ribosomal RNA (520 nucleotides) under uncultured Glomeraceae. Its description in RNAcentral is "SSU rRNA". It matches the Rfam family "Eukaryotic small subunit ribosomal RNA", at positions 569 to 1092 of the family's 1831-position model. Lineage: Eukaryota; Fungi; Glomeromycota; Glomeromycetes; Glomerales; Glomeraceae. The record is from RNAcentral.
AGCAGCCGCGGUAAUUCCAGCUCCAAUAGCGUAUAUUAAAGUUGUUGCAGUUAAAAAGCUCGUAGUUGAAUUUCGGGAUCAAUAUGUUGGUCGUGCCUUGGUACGUACUAAUUUAUUGGUUUCUUCCUUCUGACAAACCAUGAUGUCAUUAAUUUGGUGUCAUGGGGAAUCAGGACUGUUACUUUGAAAAAAUUAGAGUGUUUAAAGCAGGCUCACGCUUGAAUACAUUAGCAUGGAAUAAUGAAAUAGGACGUUUGAUUCUAUUUUGUUGGUUUCUAGGAUCGACGUAAUGAUUAAUAGGGAUAGUUGGGGGCAUUAGUAUUCAAUUGUCAGAGGUGAAAUUCUUGGAUUUAUUGAAGACUAACUACUGCGAAAGCAUUUGCCAAGGAUGUUUUCAUUAAUCAAGAACGAAAGUUAGGGGAUCGAAGACGAUCAGAUACCGUCGUAGUCUUAACCAUAAACUACGCCGACUAGGGAUCGGAUGAUGUUAAUUUUUUAAUGACUCAUUCGGCGCCUUACG